ACGGAAGGCAGCAGUGAGGAAUAUUGGUCAAUGGUCGGAAGACUGAACCAGCCAAGUCGCGUGCAGGAAGACGGUCCUAUGGAUUGUAAACUGCUUUUGUACGGGAAUAAAGUGCGGGACGUGUCCCGUUUGGAAUGUACCGUACGAAUACGGGUCGGCUAACUCCGUGCCCGCAGCCGCGGUAAUACGGAGGACCCGAGCGUUAUCCGGAUUUAUUGGGUUUAAAGGGUGCGCAGGCGGAGGAUUAAGUCAGCGGUGAAAUUUUCAUGCUCAACAUGAAAACUGCCAUUGAUACUGGUCCCCUUGAGAGAUGUCGAGGAUGGCGGAAUGUGAUGUGUAGCGGUGAAAUGCUUAGAUAUGUCACAGAACACCGAUUGCGAAGGCAGCUGUCCAGAGAUCUUCUGACGCUCAGGCACGAAAGCAUGGGUAUCAAACAAGAUUAGAUACCCUGGUA
RNAcentral lists this ribosomal RNA (454 nucleotides) under uncultured Porphyromonadaceae bacterium. Its description in RNAcentral is "partial 16S ribosomal RNA". It matches the Rfam family "Bacterial small subunit ribosomal RNA", at positions 341 to 792 of the family's 1533-position model. The record is from RNAcentral. Lineage: Bacteria; Pseudomonadati; Bacteroidota; Bacteroidia; Bacteroidales; Porphyromonadaceae.